UACGUAGGGUGCAAGCGUUAAUCGGAAUUACUGGGCGUAAAGGCGUGCGCAGGCGGUUUUGUAAGUUUGUCGUGAAAUCCCCGGGCUCAACCUGGGAAUGGGCAUGAAGACUGCAAGGCUAGAAUCUGGCAGAGGGGGGUAGAAUUCCACGUGUAGCAGUGAAAUGCGUAGAGAUGUGGAGGAACACCGAUGGCGAAGGCAGCCCCUGGGUCAAGA
This 216-nucleotide ribosomal RNA is filed under the name uncultured bacterium. RNAcentral describes it as "partial 16S ribosomal RNA". It matches the Rfam family "Bacterial small subunit ribosomal RNA", at positions 524 to 739 of the family's 1533-position model. The record is from RNAcentral.